CGNAGNGCGAUAGGGGAUCCCAAGUGCGAGGGCAUAUUAGCCCUCGCUUUUCUCGACUCUAAGGUGGUCGACGAAUAAGAGCUGGGCAAGACCGGGGCCAGCCGCCGCGGUAAUACCGGCAGCUCAAGUGAUGUCCCAUAUUAUUGGGCCUAAAGCGUCCGUAGCUGGCCGACCAAGUCUAUCGGGAAAUCCACCGGCCCAACGGGUGGGCGUCCGGUAAAAACUGGCCGGCUUGGAACCGGAAGGCUCAGAGAGUACGUCCGGGGUAGGAGUGAAAUCCCGUAAUCCCGGACGGACUACCGAUGGCGAAAGCACUCUGAGAAAACGGAUUCAACAGUGAGGGACGAAAGCUCGGGUCUCAAACCGGAUUAGAUACCCGGGUAGUCCGAGCCGUAAACAAUGCUCGUUAGGUGUGACACCCACUACGAGUGGGUGUUGCGCCGCAGGAAAGCCGCUAAACGAGCCGCCUGGAAAGUACGUCCGCAAGGAUGAAACUUAAAGGAAUGGGGGGGGAAAAAAAAAAA
RNAcentral lists this ribosomal RNA (524 nucleotides) under uncultured archaeon. Its description in RNAcentral is "partial 16S ribosomal RNA". It matches the Rfam family "Archaeal small subunit ribosomal RNA", at positions 360 to 884 of the family's 1478-position model. The record is from RNAcentral.